RNAcentral lists this ribosomal RNA (463 nucleotides) under uncultured bacterium. RNAcentral's name for it is "partial 16S ribosomal RNA". It matches the Rfam family "Bacterial small subunit ribosomal RNA", at positions 28 to 507 of the family's 1533-position model. The record is from RNAcentral.
GAUGAACGCUGACAGAAUGCUUAACACAUGCAAGUCCUUGGCGAAUCUGUGCUUGCACAGGCUAGCCAAGGCGGACGGGUGAGUAACGCGUAAAGAACUUGCCCUGCAGACAGGGAUAACAGACGGAAACGACUGAUAACACCUGAUACAGUUGCCGGCACGCAUGUGCCUGGCAAUGAAAAGAGAUGCUGCAGGAGAGCUUUGCGUCCUAUUAGCUUGUUGGUGAGGUGACGGCUCACCAAGGCGAUGAUAGGUGGCCGGCCUGAGAGGGUGAACGGCCACAAGGGGACUGAGAUACGGCCCUUACUCCUACGGGAGGCAGCAGUGGGGAAUAUUGGACAAUGGGGGCAACCCUGAUCCAGCAAUUCUGUGUGCACGAAGAAGGUUUUCGGAUUGUAAAGUGCUUUCAGCAGGGAAGAAGAAAGUGAUGGUACCUGCAGAAGAAGCGACGGCUAAAUACGUG